AGAGUUUGAUCAUGGCUCAGGAUGAACGCUGGCGGCGUGCCUAAGACAUGCAAGUCGAGGGGGUUUAGACCCCCGGCGAACGGGUGAGUAACACGUGGGAACUUCCAUUAAGUUGAGGAUAUCCUCCCGAAAGGGAGAGCAAUACUCGAUGUGGUCGUAAGACUAAAGUCGCAAGACGCUUAAUGUGAGGCCCGCGGCCC
RNAcentral lists this ribosomal RNA (200 nucleotides) under uncultured bacterium. Its description in RNAcentral is "partial 16S ribosomal RNA". It matches the Rfam family "Bacterial small subunit ribosomal RNA", at positions 8 to 239 of the family's 1533-position model. The record is from RNAcentral.